GACGAACGCUGGCGGCGUGCCUAAUACAUGCAAGUAGAACGCUGAAGGAGGAGCUUGCUUCUCUGGAUGAGUUGCGAACGGGUGAGUAACGCGUAGGUAACCUGCCUGGUAGCGGGGGAUAACUAUUGGAAACGAUAGCUAAUACCGCAUAAUAGUAGAUGUUGCAUGACAUUUGCUUAAAAGGUGCAAUUGCAUCACUACCAGAUGGACCUGCGUUGUAUUAGCUAGUUGGUGAGGUAACGGCUCACCAAGGCGACGAUACAUAGCCGACCUGAGAGGGGGAUCGGCCACACUGGGACUUAGACACGGCCCAGACUCCUACGGGAGGCAGCAGUAGGGAAUCUUCGGCAAUGGACGGAAGUCUGACCGAGCAACGCCGCGUGAGUGAAGAAGGUUUUCGGAUCGUAAAGCUCUGUUGUAAGAGAAGAACGAGUGUGAGAGUGGAAAGUUCACACUGUGACGGUAUCUUACCAGAAAGGGACGGCUAACUACGUG
RNAcentral lists this ribosomal RNA (495 nucleotides) under uncultured bacterium. RNAcentral describes it as "partial 16S ribosomal RNA". It matches the Rfam family "Bacterial small subunit ribosomal RNA", at positions 28 to 507 of the family's 1533-position model. The record is from RNAcentral.